Molecule: ribosomal RNA, 437 nt
Filed under: uncultured bacterium
Lineage: Bacteria
Description: SSU rRNA
Rfam family: Bacterial small subunit ribosomal RNA
Source: RNAcentral
AAUUCGGCUUAGAGUUUGAUCCUGGCUCAGAACGAACGCUGGCGGCAGGCUUAACACAUGCAAGUCGAGCGCCCCGCAAGGGGAGCGGCAGACGGGUGAGUAACGCGUGGGAAUCUACCCAUCCCUACGGAACAACUCCGGGAGACCGGAGCUAAUACCGUAUACGCCCUUUGGGGGAAAGAUUUAUCGGGGAUGGAUGAGCCCGCGUUGGAUUAGCUAGUUGGUGGGGUAAAGGCCUACCAAGGCGACGAUCCAUAGCUGGUCUGAGAGGAUGAUCAGCCACAUUGGGACUGAGACACGGCCCAAACUCCUACGGGAGGCAGCAGUGGGGAAUAUUGGACAAUGGGCGCAAGCCUGAUCCAGCCAUGCCGCGUGAGUGAUGAAGGCCUUAGGGUUGUAAAGCUCUUUCACGGUUGAAGAUAAUGNCGGUAACCGGA